RNAcentral lists this ribosomal RNA (304 nucleotides) under uncultured bacterium. Its description in RNAcentral is "partial 16S ribosomal RNA". It matches the Rfam family "Bacterial small subunit ribosomal RNA", at positions 506 to 807 of the family's 1533-position model. The record is from RNAcentral.
CAGCAGUAGCCGCGGUAAUACGUAGGUGGCAAGCGUUGUCCGGAAUUAUUGGGCGUAAAGGGCUCGCAGGCGGUUUCUUAAGUCUGAUGUGAAAGUCCCCGGCUCAACCGGGGAGGGUCAUUGGAAACUGGGAAACUUGAGUGCAGAAGGGGAGAGUGGAAUUCCACGUGUAGCGGUGAAAUGCGUAGAGAUGUGGAGGAACACCAGUGGCGAAGGCGACUCUCUGGUCUGUAACUGACGCUGAGGAGCGAAAGCGUGGGGAGCGAACAGGAUUAGAUACCCCUGUAGUCCCUGUCUCUUAUAC